Molecule: long non-coding RNA, 370 nt
Filed under: Mytilus galloprovincialis (Mediterranean mussel)
Lineage: Eukaryota; Metazoa; Mollusca; Bivalvia; Mytilida; Mytilidae
Source: RNAcentral
AUUAUAUUAACAAUGAUGAGUGGACAGAACAGACACAAUAGGUAAAUAGUCAAAAUAUGGGCACAACAGGCAUCACUGUGUCACAAUCACAGGGCUUUCGCUAUAUAGUUGAAUCCUAAUUUGUUUUUGAUUUUAUAAAUGAAGCAAGUAGUGGACACAUUUGCAUGAAGCGUGAACGUGAUUCUUGUUAAAUAUGAGUUUUAGAGGCAUAUCCGUUCAUAACAACAAAUGUCACUUGAUAGUUUUCUUGACUGCUGUUACCCUAUUUUUGACAUUUUCACCUAUUAUGUCUGUUUAUUUUGUUCACAUGUUGUUGUCAAUAUAAUGAAGUUGUGAGUGUUUUCAUAAAUAUGAGAUGUUUAGCUAGCUA